AGCAGCAGCACUCGCCGCAGCAGCAGAAGCCAACGACGACUCUAACGGAACUGAAACGCGUAUCUUUUUUUCCUCGAACGAAAAACGUAGAAAAAGAAGAAAAAAAGGAAAAAGAAAGUUAUACACACUGGCAAAGAUUGCAAUCAUUCAUUCACAGUUCGAGUCCGGAGUCCUGCUCAAACUGUAGCUAAAAAAUUCGCGCGUGCUGCAAAAAAUACAAAAAAUCAAAGAGAAAGGAAAUUCGCAUAGAAAUAAAAUCAAAUUAGGAGCAAAGUGCGCUGUGCUAUGUGAAUGGCAAACAACAACAACAGCAACAAAUAGCUUUAAAACUGUUGAAUAUAGAAUGACGUUGCAGACAAAAAUCAAUGUAAAAUAUAAAGCGAUAAAAGCAACAGCAGCAACAAUAACAACAAUAGCAACAACAAAAACAACAAUAAGCGCCCGUCUGCGCCGCCGUUGACACGCACGCACCCAUACAAACAAAGCAGACAGUCAGACACACAGACAGCACACGCAAUCAUAAAAAACACGCACACACAUACACAGACACACACAAGCACACACAUACAUUCAGGGCAGUUAGGCCUAGCGCUGCGUGGGCGCAAAAAGGAGCAGCAAAUACAAAUUGUGCACAAAAACAACAAGCAGCAUAGCGCAACAGCGAGCAGGAGCCGAAGUUGAAGAAGAGGCAGCGCAACAGCAGAGCUGAUUAAAGCUGUGCACUAACAGUUAAACAAAAACAUUCGCGAACACACAAAAAAAAGUGCCAUUCACACACAAUGAAGCCAUCGGACUUGCUGCUGGUGUUGCAAAAGGUCAAGUUCAGGCUGCCCUUGCCGCCGGGCGUUAGCUCCACAACGCUCCUGCCGAAGCUAAUACGUACGAAGGAUGUGAAGCAGCUGCAGGAUGGCAAUGCACAGCCCACAAAGCCCAAGCUAACGGUA
This is a long non-coding RNA of Drosophila navojoa, 944 nucleotides long. NCBI's taxonomy places the organism in Eukaryota, Metazoa, Arthropoda, Insecta, Diptera, Drosophilidae. The record is from RefSeq and is a predicted model, not a curated record.